Molecule: unclassified non-coding RNA, 212 nt
Filed under: soil metagenome
Description: partial contains 5.8S ribosomal RNA, internal transcribed spacer 2, and large subunit ribosomal RNA
Source: RNAcentral
AACAAGGCGUACCUGCGGACCUGCGGAGGGAUCAUUACAAGUGACCCCGGUCUAACCACCGGGGUGUUCAUAACCCUUUGUUGUCCGACUCUGUUGCCUCCGGGGCGACCCUGCCUUCGGGCGGGGGCUCCGGGUGGACACUUCAAACUCUUGCGUAACUUUGCAGUCUGAGUAAACUUAAUUAAUAAAUUAAAACUUUCAACAACGGAUCU